AGAACGAACGUUGGCGGCGUGGAUUAGGCAUGCAAGUCGAACGGGCCUGGUUUUCGGAUCAGGUCAGUGGCGCAAGGGUGAGUAAGGCGACGGUAACCAACCCCAUGGUUGGGUAUAGCCGCGGGAAACUGCGGGUAAUCCCCAGCGAUGUAAGAUGCCGGCAUCGGUGUUUUAUCAAAGCUUUGGCGCCGUGGGACGGGCCGUCGUGGUAUUAGGUCGUUGGCGGGGUAACGGCCCACCAAGCCGAUGAUGCCUACCGGGCGUGCGAGCGUGGCCCGGCACACUGGGACUGAGACGCUGCCCAGACUCCUACGGGAGGCUGCAGUCGAGAAUCUUCGGCAAUGGGCGCAAGCCUGACCGAGCGACGCCGCGUGGAGGAUGAAGGCCUUCGGGUUGUAAACUCCUGUCGAGGGGGAGGAAGGGGAAACCUUGACCGAUCCCUGGAGGAAGCACGGGCUAAGUUCGUGCCAGCAGCCGCGGUAAGACGAACCGUGCGAACGUUAUUCGGAAUCACUGGGCUUAAAGCGCGUGUAGGCGGAUGGGAACGUCGGAUACUGAAAGCCCCCGGCUCAACCGGGGAAGUGGUUCCGAAACGACCUGUCUGGAGGGACGUAGGGGGAUCUGGAACUUCCGGUGGAGCGGUGAAAUGCGUUGAGAUCGGAAGGAACGCCCGUGGCGAAAGCGAGGUCCUGGACGUCUGCUGACGCUGAGACGCGAAAGCUAGGGGAGCAAACGGGAUUAGAUACCCCGGUAGUCCUAGCCGUAAACGAUGGGCACUGGGGUAGGGGGCUCGCCGAUGGGCUCUCUGCCGUAGCGAAAGCGUGAAGUGCCCGCCUGGGGAGUAUGGUCGCAAGGCUGAA
RNAcentral lists this ribosomal RNA (860 nucleotides) under uncultured bacterium. Its description in RNAcentral is "bacterial SSU rRNA". It matches the Rfam family "Bacterial small subunit ribosomal RNA", at positions 26 to 898 of the family's 1533-position model. The record is from RNAcentral.